RNAcentral lists this long non-coding RNA (640 nucleotides) under Hordeum vulgare. RNAcentral describes it as "long non-coding RNA (HVUL_LNC020883)". The record is from RNAcentral. Lineage: Eukaryota; Viridiplantae; Streptophyta; Magnoliopsida; Poales; Poaceae.
GAGCACGAGCGGCGGGUCGCGGAAGGCGCCGACGGAGGCGAAGCUCAAGGUGGCGAUCAACGGGUUCGGGCGCAUCGGGCGCAACUUCCUGCGGUGCUGGCACGGGCGCGGCGACAGCUCGCCGCUGGAGGUGAUCGCCAUCAACGACACCGGAGGCGUGAAGCAGGCGUCCCACCUCCUCAAGUACGACUCCACGCUGGGCAUCUUCGACGCGGACGUCAAGCCCGUGGGCGACAACGCCAUCUCCGUCGACGGCAAGGUGAUCAAGGUCGUGUCCGACCGCAACCCCUCCAACCUGCCGUGGGGCGAGAUGGGCAUCGACCUCGUCAUCGAGGGCACCGGCGUCUUCGUCGACCGCGCCGGCGCGGGCAAGCAUCUCGAGGCCGGAGCCAAGAAGGUGCUCAUCACCGCGCCCGGCAAGGGCGACAUCCCCACCUACGUCUGCGGCGUCAACGCCGACCUCUACACCCACGCCGACACCAUCAUCAGCAACGCCUCAUGCACCACCAACUGCCUCGCCCCCUUCGUCAAGGUCCUCGACCAAAAGUUCGGUACGUGCCCGUCUCCCUCCCUCUCUCUCUCUCUCAACUGAAUCAACUUGUUGACGAUGACUAAUGGCGGCGGUGGCAAUGGCGCAGGC